Molecule: ribosomal RNA, 439 nt
Filed under: uncultured bacterium
Lineage: Bacteria
Description: partial 16S ribosomal RNA
Rfam family: Bacterial small subunit ribosomal RNA
Source: RNAcentral
CCUACGGGUGGCAGCAGUAGGGAAUUUUGCGCAAUGGGGGAAACCCUGACGCAGCAACGCCGCGUGAUCGAUGAAGCCCUUCGGGGUGUAAAGAUCUGUCAGUGGGGACGAAACCUGACGGUACCCACAGAGGAAGCACCGGCUAACUCCGUGCCAGCAGCCGCGGUAAUACGGGGGGUGCAAGCGUUGUCCGGAAUCAUUGGGCGUAAAGAGUUCGUAGGUGGCACGUUAAGUCUGGUGUUAGGCGGAAGCUCAACUUCCGUAGGGCACUGGAUACUGGCGAGCUUGAAUGCGGUAGAGGUAAAGGGAAUUCCUGGUGUAGCGGUGAAAUGCGUAGAUAUCACACAGAACACCGAUUGCGAAGGCAUCUCACGAAUCCGCGAUUGACGCUGAUGCACGAAAGCGUGGGUAUCAAACAGGAUUAGAUACCCCAGUAGUC